AUUGAACGCUGGCGGCAUGCCUAACACAUGCAAGUCGAACGGUAACGCGGGGGCAACCCUGGCGACGAGUGGCGGACGGGUGAGUAAUACGUAGGAAUCUGCCCAUUUGUGGGGGAUAACCCGGCGAAAGCCGGGCUAAUACCGCAUACGCUCUACGGAGGAAAGCGGGGGUAUCGUAAGACCUCGCGCUAAUGGAUGAGCCUACGUCGGAUUAGCUAGUUGGUAGGGUAACGGCCUACCAAGGCGACGAUCCGUAGCUGGUCUGAGAGGACGAUCAGCCACACUGGGACUGAGACACGGCCCAGACUCCUACGGGAGGCAGCAGUGGGGAAUAUUGGACAAUGGGGGCAACCCUGAUCCAGCAAUGCCGCGUGUGUGAAGAAGGCCUGCGGGUUGUAAAGCACUUUCAGAGGGGCAAGAAAAAAGUCGGAGCUAAUACCUCCGAGCUUGACGUUACCCUUAGAAGAAGCACCGGCUAACUCCGUGCCAGCAGCCGCGGUAAUACGG
Molecule: ribosomal RNA, 507 nt
Filed under: uncultured bacterium
Lineage: Bacteria
Description: bacterial SSU rRNA
Rfam family: Bacterial small subunit ribosomal RNA
Source: RNAcentral